GCUUGGGUCUCCUCUGCCUGCUAGAAGAUGAGCCCCCUGGCUGCCCACAUGUUGAGCUGACUCCGUGUCUCUGUCAUUCAUUUUCGUUUGUCCGGGGUCAGGGAGGAACAAAGUACCUGGUCUAGGUCCCGGAGCAAGGCCCACCUGGUGGCGCCCCAGUGCGGGGCCGGGGACCCAGGGUUGCCUACAGUUCACACUACUUAUUCUCCUUUUAAUAUCCACGUGAUCUGUAAAUCCUCCCUGUUAUAGGUAAUCCGUAUCCUGGAUUCUGGGGGAUUAUUUAAAGCAGUGGUGGUGAGUGGAUGGCACAUGUGCCACAGCGGACACGCAGAGCCCUCUCUGUCGUAUGUUCUGUCUGGCGUUCACAGUGGACAACUGGGAGUUCACAGUGGAUAACUGCAUGAGGAUCCAUCUUUCAGGAUUCUCCUUCACCAUUUGGGUGCCACUUCCCACUCCAUGUCACCUAGACACCUGGUCACCCACCUAGAGAUGUCAUUUUCCAGGUAUGCUCAUAUGCCUGGGUUCUUGCCAAUGCAAGGGAUUGAACUUGGGACCUUGUGCUUGCAAGGCAGGCGCCGGAACCACUGAGCCAAAUCCCCGGCCCAGGAACUGGUAUUUUAAACAAGCAUCCCAAAGGAUUCCGAUGCAGUGGUCCCUCGACAUUCACCUGGCUACUUUAUGUCUUGCUGAAGAUGCAAAACUUGCUCUGGCUGAAAUUCUCCUUUUAUCCUUUCUACCAGUAAGUGUCUCUUAGAGAAACUGGGACACUUUCACUAUGGCUCUUCCCUGCAUUCCUGGGGGUGAAGCAGCCACCACAGGAAGCAAAACAGCAAGAGAGAGGCUGAUUCAGCACAUACUGAGGCGCAGCCACAAGCCCAGGAGCUUCUUAGUGGCCUCCUGAUCUUAUCGAAGGACAUUGUCCUUUCCUGGAACCUCACUGCCUUCUGCAGUAUCUUUAUUUGUAUCGUAUCGUAAGGCUGUCCCACUCGCUUUGCACUGAGAAGUGUUGCUCUGAAACUAUUUACUGUGAAUAAACUUUCUUGGUAAUGCCACGUUUGUUCAGAACCUUGACCAACAAUAUGCUCUUGAUGGCUGUUCUCAUGGUCUCAGGGGAGGAGAUGGGUAGGAGGAGGAAGAGUGGCUUCUGCUGUGAUUUUUUUUUAAUAGUGGGAGAAUCCAAAUGGGAAAAUGGAUAAAUACAUUGUCUUCUAGCUAAAAGCUAGAAGUAAACUUUGAAGGUUGGAUUAACGAUUUCUUCAAGCAGAGAUUAAGUACUGUUCCAGUAAAUAUCACAUCCACCUAAGAAUUAGAUUUCAG
Heterocephalus glaber (naked mole-rat) is the source of this 1317-nucleotide long non-coding RNA. The record is from Ensembl. Lineage: Eukaryota; Metazoa; Chordata; Mammalia; Rodentia; Bathyergidae.